AACACGUAAAGAACCUGCCCUCAGGUCUGGGAUAACCACGAGAAAUCGGGGCUAAUACCGGAUGGGUCAUCGGACCGCAUGGUCCGAGGAUGAAAGACGCUUCGGCGUCGCCUGGGGAUGGCUUUGCGGUGCAUUAGCUAGUUGGUGGGGUAAUGGCCCACCAAGGCGACGAUGCAUAGCCGACCUGAGAGGGUGAUCGGCCACACUGGGACUGAGACACGGCCCAGACUCCUACGGGAGGCAGCAGUAGGGAAUCUUCCACAAUGGACGAAAGUCUGAUGGAGCAACGCCGCGUGAACGAUGAAGGCCUUCGGGUCGUAAAGUUCUGUUGUAAGGGAAGAACAAGUGCCGCAGGCAAUGGCGGCACCUUGACGGUACCUUGCGAGAAAGCCACGGCUAACUACGUGCCAGCAGCCGCGGUAAUACGUAGGUGGCAAGCGUUGUCCGGAAUUAUUGGGCGUAAAGCGCGCGCAGGCGGCCUCUUAAGUCUGAUGUGAAAGCCCCCGGCUCAACCGGGGAGGGCCAUUGGAAACUGGGAGGCUUGAGUAUAGGAGAGAAGAGUGGAAUUCCACGUGUAGCGGUGAAAUGCGUAGAGAUGUGGAGG
RNAcentral lists this ribosomal RNA (604 nucleotides) under uncultured bacterium. Its description in RNAcentral is "bacterial SSU rRNA". It matches the Rfam family "Bacterial small subunit ribosomal RNA", at positions 112 to 704 of the family's 1533-position model. The record is from RNAcentral.